Long non-coding RNA from Saccostrea echinata, 669 nucleotides. RefSeq lists it as uncharacterized. The record is from RefSeq and is a predicted model, not a curated record. NCBI's taxonomy places the organism in Eukaryota, Metazoa, Mollusca, Bivalvia, Ostreida, Ostreidae. The transcript is spliced from 2 exons.
UUAACGUACGAGCCGUAUGUAGACAUGCACAUUUAAUCCACAUCUACGAAGCACAUAAAAUCCUUGGUUGCGUACAGGGAGCAUUAGUUUUAAAGGGAUAUAUAUAUUCUUGCGCAAAUUGUUUACGAGGAAAUUCUGACGAUCACAUUAACAGCGAUGAACAGUCUUGUGUCGGAGUUUUCUGUAAUAAAUGUAGCGAGUGAUGAAAGAGUUCACGGUGACAUUUUAAUAUAUGAUUGGCGUGGACCUUGGAAAUGAAGGUGUGACUGCCAUCUGAUAACUGAAAUUUGAUACCAAGCAUGACCAUAUUUGCCAGAAGAGCAUCUGUUUGGAGAUGACGAAGAAUAAGCAGCAUUAUAGUGAAAUUUAAACAGUCACACAAGGAUAAAAGUCCUUCCAUCUAGGAUUAUGGACACAUCAGGCCUUAAUACAUUAAAAACUUACAAUGUAAUAUAUGUAUUUUUACAAAAUAAUUUAGAGAGAACUGCUAUUUUGGCAUAUACAACAACAAAUGUUAACAUAUGUGCAUAUUUCAAAUGACUUCAGUGCUAAGGGCAUGUACAUGAACAAGGAUUGUUAGAAAAGUUUGCGGACACAUUGAUUUAAGGAAAAUUUACUGUGCACUUUGAAAAAUGACAUUUAUCUGAUUAAAUUCUUAUAUUUUGUUUA